CUCUAUUUUAUUUUUUGGUGUAGAUGGCCAAGGAAGUUGCACAGAACUUCCCCAACAUUCCCUCCCAAAUUGAUAUGGAACCUUCAAUGGAGCAAUUGCGAAAAGAAAUGGAUGAGGACAUACUAAAAAUGUCUGAGUUCAACAAAGCCAACAACUGCUUUAUGUGUGCCACUGAUAAAGAACCUGGAUGUGGCCCAAAGACUGACUGGGAAUGAAGACAAAAUGGUUCAACAGAGUAAAGAACACAAACUGGAAGUGCCGUCUUUGUUGUUGAAAAUGUAUGCUAUACCCCAUCCACACUGAAGAGGCUCUGAAAUGUACAUCAACCAGGGUUAAUGUAUGCUAUACCCCAUCCACACU
Long non-coding RNA from Oncorhynchus gorbuscha (pink salmon), 360 nucleotides. RefSeq lists it as uncharacterized. The transcript has 3 exons. Lineage: Eukaryota; Metazoa; Chordata; Actinopteri; Salmoniformes; Salmonidae. The record is from RefSeq and is a predicted model, not a curated record.